GGGCUAGUACUCAAGUUGGCCGAAGAGGCGUCCCUGCUAAGGAUGUAGGGGGAGCAAUCCCCGCGGAGGUUCGAAUCCUCUCUAGCCCGCCA
Molecule: transfer RNA, 92 nt
Filed under: Mycoplasma sp.
Lineage: Bacteria; Bacillati; Mycoplasmatota; Mollicutes; Mycoplasmatales; Mycoplasmataceae
Also listed under: 2 other names
Description: tRNA-Ser
Rfam family: tRNA
About the family: Transfer RNA (tRNA) molecules are approximately 80 nucleotides in length. Their secondary structure includes four short double-helical elements and three loops (D, anti-codon, and T loops). Further hydrogen bonds mediate the characteristic L-shaped molecular structure. tRNAs have two regions of fundamental functional importance: the anti-codon, which is responsible for specific mRNA codon recognition, and the 3' end, to which the tRNAs corresponding amino acid is attached (by aminoacyl-tRNA synthetases). tRNAs cope with the degeneracy of the genetic code in two manners: having more than one tRNA (with a specific anti-codon) for a particular amino acid; and 'wobble' base-pairing, i.e. permitting non-standard base-pairing at the 3rd anti-codon position.
Source: RNAcentral